AAACAACGGGAGGAGAGCUCCUCGUGUCGCUCUGCUUUGCUCGCGACUUCGUUAAGGCAGAACCGGCCUUGAGUUAGCUGGACGAGUUUUCUAGCCCGAAGACGGUAUGCAGAAGUAUCGAUGUACGUUGUGAUGGAAUAAAGUGUACACCCGGUGGUGCGAAUAAUGACGCGCGGCUAUUUGUAGAUGUGCGACGUUUCACGCGAGGAAUAGGCGACGGCAUUUCACGAGACGACGCGAGAGACGUCGUACGUGAAACUAUGACACUACAAUGCAUACGCAUUAUUGCAGGGGGAGAUGUAAGGGACGACCUCUUCGAUCCGUCCAACUCCGAUACGUUCAACGUGAAAAAAUAGUAAAAACGUACCGGUAAAGCGAUCACUAGGACACCGCUCAAGGAGCAUACACCCCCGACGAUUUUUCCCGCGAUCGUUUUCGGAACCAUGUCACCG
Long non-coding RNA from Dinoponera quadriceps, 452 nucleotides. RefSeq lists it as uncharacterized. NCBI's taxonomy places the organism in Eukaryota, Metazoa, Arthropoda, Insecta, Hymenoptera, Formicidae. The record is from RefSeq and is a predicted model, not a curated record. The transcript is spliced from 3 exons.